CAAUAGCGUAUAUUAAAGUUGUUGCAGUUAAAAGCUCGUAGUUGGAUUUCGGGGCAGCCUGCCUGGUCCACCGCAAGGUGAGUACUGGUCAGCCGCCCUUCCUCUCGAAAGCCCCGACUGCUCUUCAUUGCAGUGGUCGGGUAGUUCGGGACGUUUACUUUGAAAAAUUAGAGUGUUCACGGCAGGCUAUCGCCUUGAAUAUAUUAGCAUGGAAUAAUAAUAUAGGACUUUGGUUCUAUUUUGUUGGUUUCUAGGACUAAAGUAAUGAUUAAUAGGGAUAAUUGGGGGACAUUUGUAUUAACCUGUCAGAGGUGGAAUUCUUGGAUUAGGUUACGACAAACUACUGCGAAAGCAUUUGCCAAGGAUGUUUUCAUUGAUCAAGAACGAAAGUUAGGGGAUCGAAGAUGAU
Molecule: ribosomal RNA, 409 nt
Filed under: uncultured eukaryote
Lineage: Eukaryota
Description: bacterial SSU rRNA
Rfam family: Eukaryotic small subunit ribosomal RNA
Source: RNAcentral